Long non-coding RNA from Carassius auratus (goldfish), 957 nucleotides. RefSeq lists it as uncharacterized. The record is from RefSeq and is a predicted model, not a curated record. The transcript is spliced from 6 exons. NCBI's taxonomy places the organism in Eukaryota, Metazoa, Chordata, Actinopteri, Cypriniformes, Cyprinidae.
CAUGUCUGAAGCACUGUUAAAUAUAUUUAAAUAUAUUUUGAAAACACUUGAUGGUCACGCGCUGUACUGGAGUCACCAUGGAAACGGGGCUCAGCUCAACCGUCAAGCAGCUGAACAGACGCUGUCUCUCAUGGUUGUUUUCACUAAUUUCAGAAAUGGUCAGUGUCUUCAGAAAAAGUCCGUUAGCAUCUCAACUGUAAUGCUAACUACAAGAGAUUCUUCCAUGCUGAUGGCCGUGCCUGUAUCCAGCUGAAGAACAUUUUUAGACAUUAUGAAACAUAUAACUAAGACUGAAAAUCAUUGAUAAACCACAAGAGUUUAGCUCCAACCCCAGUUAAGCAGACCUGAGCAGCUGAUCAAGGAUCAGCAGAAACUCUGCAGAACGGUGGUCCUCCAGCCCAGGACUGGUCACCAGUGUUAUGCUAGAGAAAGAACAGCGAGGCUAAAGCAUUCAAAGUGGAAACAUCUGCCGUGGCUCAUUAAUCCAGAAUUGGGAUGGAGGAAGGAGCAGAAGAAGAAGCAGAAGAACAGAGAUCAGGUGGAGACUGGUGCCCCUGUGGGAACCCCAUUUACCAAACGUGUUAGUUAAACCAAAGAUUUUCCUCACUCACCUUCAUGUUGUUCCAAGCCAGACUUUUGUUCAUCUUUGAAACAUAAAUGCAGAACUUAUUAAACUAAUAAAAUCUGAAAAAAAAAGUAUUUAAAAUAACGCAUUCACACAAGCACCAUGAUGCAUCAGUAUUGCAUUGGCAUGAGAGCUGGCGCUUUUUGGUGCUUUUGUGAAAAUCCAUUGGGGAUUCAUAAUUUCUGAAUUUGUGUUCUGCAACAUGGUUUGCUGUAGAGCUGUAAUCGGGCCUUAAAAGUUAGGCCCGACAGGACCCGAGCCCGACAGGUUUCGGCCCGAGCCCGACAAGUACAUUUUGAUUGACAGCUUUUUUAAAGCCCGAACCCGUUUAC